This is a long non-coding RNA of Dendroctonus ponderosae (mountain pine beetle), 274 nucleotides long. RefSeq lists it as uncharacterized. The transcript has 2 exons. NCBI's taxonomy places the organism in Eukaryota, Metazoa, Arthropoda, Insecta, Coleoptera, Curculionidae. The record is from RefSeq and is a predicted model, not a curated record.
AUGACAUUUACCUUUGGCAGAUAUCAAAUGGCAAGGUUUUACUUUUCCAACCUCGAAUUGGAUAACCCGUUAUUUAUAAUCGGAACAGCCGGUAUGGAUAACAGCACGUGCACUUUAUUUCAUUUAAACGACAUUUUGGAGUCGUUUUAUGUUGACAGCUCAGCGAGCAAUAUUUAUGGCGAGGUGAGUUAAAACCGACUGCUGAAUUUCAAUGAAGAUUUAGGGCACAACGAUCAAUUAAAACUUUUGAAGUCAAUAUAAUUCUGCCUAAGAA